GACGAACGCUGGCGGCGUGCCUAAUACAUGCAAGUAGAACGCUGAAGAGAGGAGCUUGCUCUUCUUGGAUGAGUUGCGAGCGGGUGAGUAACGCGUAGGUAACCUGCCUGGUAGCGGGGGAUAACUAUUGGAAACGAUAGCUAAUACCGCAUAAAAUGGAUUAUCGCAUGAUAAUCCAUUGAAAGGUGCAAAUGCAUCACUACCAGAUGGACCUGCGUUGUAUUAGCUAGUUGGUGGGGUAACGGCUCACCAAGGCGACGAUACAUAGCCGACCUGAGAGGGUGAUCGGCCACACUGGGACUGAGACACGGCCCAGACUCCUACGGGAGGCAGCAGUAGGGAAUCUUCGGCAAUGGACGGAAGUCUGACCGAGCAACGCCGCGUGAGUGAAGAAGGUUUUCGGAUCGUAAAGCUCUGUUGUAAGAGAAGAACGAGUGUGAGAGUGGAAAGUUCACACUGUGACGGUAUCUUACCAGAAAGAGACGGCUAACUACGUG
This 497-nucleotide ribosomal RNA is filed under the name uncultured bacterium. RNAcentral describes it as "partial 16S ribosomal RNA". It matches the Rfam family "Bacterial small subunit ribosomal RNA", at positions 28 to 507 of the family's 1533-position model. The record is from RNAcentral.